RNAcentral lists this long non-coding RNA (605 nucleotides) under Pongo abelii (Sumatran orangutan). RNAcentral describes it as "lincRNA". The record is from RNAcentral. Lineage: Eukaryota; Metazoa; Chordata; Mammalia; Primates; Hominidae.
AGCAGGGUAGCUGAACAUCUUACGGAUGGCCCAGGGCUCCAAAGGCUUGUUUCCUAAGUGAGAGAGAGCCCGGCUGAAGCUCUAUUACCAUUCAUUCUCUAGCCUCCGAAGUCUCAAAGCAUCACUUCCACCAUACUCUAAUUGUCAAGACAAACACAAAGUCCUAGAAACUGCCAGACUGUCUUCCGAAGUGGCUAUAAUAUUUACACUCCCAUCAGCAGUGUAGAUGGGGGUCUCACUACGUUGUCUGGAGUGCAGUGGCUAGAGUGGAGUGGCUAUUCACAGAGCCAGUUCUGCUGCGACACAGAAUCACUUGCUCCAUCUAAUACAUUGAUGAUGAUUAAUUUGUAUGUGUACCUUCCAAAAAAGAUGGUCGUGUUUGAACGGAGGCCUUCUGGACAGGAAAAUAUGGAGAGUGCAUGCUUUGGAUUCAAGACUGGGAAUGAGGGACCAGAAACCUGUUCUGUGGCUGUUUGUUGUUAGGACUUUCCUAAGCCUCUGGAAAAGGGUCAGUCCUGCUGAGGCUCUCCAUGGAGAUGGUCAGCAAGUGCAAAGUACAAUUAACAUUUGAGUCUGUCUGAGUCAUGAAGAAAUGGAGAUUACUG